GGCGGACGGGUGAGUAACGCGUAAAGAACUUGCCCUUUAGACUGGGAUAACANAGGGAAACUUCUGAUAAUACUGGAUAAGUUAGUAUAUCGCAUGAUAUGCAAAUGAAAGCUACGGCACUAAAGGAGAGCUUUGCGUCCUAUUAGCUAGUUGGUAAGGUAAGAGCUUACCAAGGCGAUGAUAGGUAGCCGGCCUGAGAGGGUGGACGGCCACAAGGGGACUGAGAUACGGCCCUUACUCCUACGGGAGGCAGCAGCC
Molecule: ribosomal RNA, 258 nt
Filed under: uncultured Leptotrichia sp.
Lineage: Bacteria; Fusobacteriati; Fusobacteriota; Fusobacteriia; Fusobacteriales; Leptotrichiaceae
Description: partial 16S ribosomal RNA
Rfam family: Bacterial small subunit ribosomal RNA
Source: RNAcentral